RNAcentral lists this unclassified non-coding RNA (635 nucleotides) under Hevea brasiliensis (rubber tree). The record is from RNAcentral. Lineage: Eukaryota; Viridiplantae; Streptophyta; Magnoliopsida; Malpighiales; Euphorbiaceae.
AGGAGGAGGAGGAGGAGGAGGAGUACUUGGCAUUAGUGGGUUGGUGUGGCAGCGACUGGAGCAAUGGAGCUGACUAGUGUUUUGGAGGCAACUCAAGGCAACGACUCAAGGAUGACUGGUGAGGCGUCGACGAUGCAAGCUCAGAUCAGGUAUGCCAUGCUCUACCUCCCUUCUCAUUCUUGAUGGGUCGAUGCUCCUCCCUUCACGCUCUGCUUACGUUAUUGACUUUGAGAUACUCUAUAGAUCUUUUCAUCAACCAGUUUUCCCUUUUCAUCCUUGUCAAGCUUGAUGUUUGUGCGCAUUGAAGUUUUACUUGGCUUGCUACUCUCCAUCCUAAAGCUCUUGAUUAAUUCUUUGGUGUACUUGACUUGGUUGAUGAAGAUGGGCUUGGUUGAUGAAGAUGCCAUCCUUAGCUUGUUUGAUUUAAAGCCUAAGGAAGAACUUGAGUUCUCCCAUCAUGCUCAUCACAAACUCACUCUUCAUGGUAUUAGCAAACUCUUCAUGGUAUUAGCAAACUCUUCACACAAGCACUCAUUAGUAGCACCAAAUAUAAUAUCAUCAAUAUAUAUUUGUACUACAAAAAUGUCAUUUACAUAAUUUUUAACAAAAAGAGUUGUAUCAACUUUUCCUUUUGA